This 612-nucleotide ribosomal RNA is filed under the name Triticum aestivum (bread wheat). RNAcentral's name for it is "partial small subunit ribosomal RNA". The record is from RNAcentral. Lineage: Eukaryota; Viridiplantae; Streptophyta; Magnoliopsida; Poales; Poaceae.
AUGAAAUGUAAAUAUGUACUCCCUCCGUCCCGAAAAACAUGUCGUGAGGGCAUUUUUGCAGAAAAGACCUCUAGUUUCUCCCGACCAAACCCGCACUCCUUGUCCUCCUCCUCUGACAGAACCAGCAGCUGCGCUGCUCUCCGCCGCCGGAGCUUCGUUGCUCCCUGCCACCGCAGCUGCCCUUCUCCCCGCCGCUGCAGCUGCCCUGCUCCCCCGCUCUCCCGCCGCAUCUGCCUCCUGCUCCGCCGCCGCAGCUGUCGCUCACCUGCCUCCUCAAGCUCCCCCCUUCCUCAAAAAAAAUCUUUGAUUUCCCAGCUACCGCCGCGCUCUGCUCCGGCUGCGUCGGAACCGCCGUCGGAGAGCCCGGAGGCGCUGGAUCCAGACCACCACCAACAACCUAGAGGCCGGCGAGCCCGACGACGACAGGAGAUGCAGCAGGCUAAACACCGACGAGCCCGGCGACAACGGCAAGCUAAAGGUCGUGGAUUUGGGAGCGUGGAAGACGACGGCGACAGCUCCACGAGCAAUACGGUUGCGGCGGGGUCUUCUUCGUUGUUUCUCUGGUGGAAAACCCGCGCCUGCGACACCGCGGCUGGGCUGUCCAGUGGGUAG